UACGGAGGGUGCAAGCGUUGCUCGGAAUUAUUGGGCGUAAAGGGUAGGUAGGUGGUCUCAUUUGUCUGGGGUGAAAGCCUUGGGCUUAACCCAAGAAGUGCCCCAGAAACGGUGAGACUAGAGUCCUGGAGAGGGUCGUGGAAUUCCCGGUGUAGCGGUGAAAUGCGCAGAUAUCAGGAGGAACACCAGCGGCGAAGGCGGCGCUCUGGGCCGGAACUGACGCUGAGGAGCGAAAGCGUGGGUAGCAAACAGG
RNAcentral lists this ribosomal RNA (253 nucleotides) under uncultured bacterium. RNAcentral describes it as "partial 16S ribosomal RNA". It matches the Rfam family "Bacterial small subunit ribosomal RNA", at positions 524 to 776 of the family's 1533-position model. The record is from RNAcentral.